Molecule: ribosomal RNA, 385 nt
Filed under: uncultured soil bacterium
Lineage: Bacteria
Description: bacterial SSU rRNA
Rfam family: Bacterial small subunit ribosomal RNA
Source: RNAcentral
GGGACGAACGCUGGCGGCGUGCUUAACACAUGCAAGUCGAGCGGUAAGGCCUUUCGGGGUACACGAGCGGCGAACGGGUGAGUAACACGUGGGUGAUCUGCCCUGCACUUCGGGAUAAGCCUGGGAAACUGGGUCUAAUACCGGAUAUGACCUCAGGUUGCAUGACUUGGGGUGGAAAGAUUUAUCGGUGCAGGAUGGGCCCGCGGCCUAUCAGCUUGUUGGUGAGGUAAAAGCUCACCAAGCCGACGAUCUGUAGCUGGUUUGAGAGAACGACCAGCCACACUGGGACUGAGACACGGCCCAGACUCCUACGGGAGGCAGCAGUGGGGAAUUUGGACAAUGGGCGAAAGCCUGAUCCAGCAAUGCCGCGUGCAGGAAGAAGGCC